Phrynosoma platyrhinos (Desert horned lizard) is the source of this 72-nucleotide non-coding RNA. The record is from the annotation of a GenBank genome assembly. Lineage: Eukaryota; Metazoa; Chordata; Lepidosauria; Squamata; Phrynosomatidae.
GCCAGCAUGGCACAGUGGUUUGAGCAUUGGACUACAACUCUGGAGACCAGGGUUCAAUUCCCCGCUCGGCCA